RNAcentral lists this ribosomal RNA (564 nucleotides) under uncultured Glomeromycotina. RNAcentral's name for it is "SSU rRNA". It matches the Rfam family "Eukaryotic small subunit ribosomal RNA", at positions 548 to 1114 of the family's 1831-position model. Lineage: Eukaryota; Fungi; Glomeromycota. The record is from RNAcentral.
UUGGAGGGCAAGUCUGGUGCCAGCAGCCGCGGUAAUUCCAGCUCCAAUAGCGUAUAUUAAAGUUGUUGCAGUUAAAAAGCUCGUAGUUGAAUUUCGGGAUCAAUAUGUCGGUCGUGCCUCGGUACGCACUGGCAUCAUUGGUUUCUCCCUUCUGAUGAACCAUGAUGCCAUUAAUUUGGUGUCGUGGGGAAUCAGGACUGUUACUCUGAAAAAAUUAGAGUGUUUAAAGCAGGCUCACGCUUGAAUACAUUAGCAUGGAAUAAUGAAAUAGGACGUUUGAUUCUAUUUUGUUGGUUUCUAGGAUCGACGUAAUGAUUAAUAGGGAUAGUUGGGGGCAUUAGUAUUCAAUUGUCAGAGGUGAAAUUCUUGGAUUUAUUGAAGACUAACUACUGCGAAAGCAUUUGCCAAGGAUGUUUUCAUUAAUCAAGAACGAAAGUUAGGGGAUCGAAGACGAUCAGAUACCGUCGUAGUCUUAACCAUAAACUAUGCCGACUAGGGAUCGGAUGAUGUUAAUUUUUUAAUGACUCAUUCGGCGCCUUACGGGAAACCAAAGUGUUUGGGUUC